GAACGGGUUGUAGCUGGCCUCAUACUGUGGCAUGUGCACGCCUGUCUUCAUCCACUCUUCAACCUCUGUGCACUUAUUGUAGGCUGGUGAAGGGUCGCAUAGUAAUGUGCGGCUUGAAGCCUGGUCUACGUUUUACUACAAACGCUUCAGUUAUAGAAUGUCUAUCUGCGUAUAACGCAUUUAAUAUACAACUUUCAGCAACGGAUCUCUUGGCUCUCGCAUCGAUGAAGAACGAGCGAAAUGCGAUAAGUAAUGUGAAUUGCAGAAUUCAGUGAAUCAUCGAAUCUUUGAACGCACCUUGCGCUCCCUGGUAUUCCGGGGAGCAUGCCUGUUUGAGUGUCAUGGAAUUCUCAACUUCUAAUACUUUUUUGUAUCAGAAGCUUGGAUUUGGAGGCUCGUGCUGGCUCUCUCGUUAGAGUCGGCUCCUCUUAAAUGAAUUAGCGUGAAUCACUAUGGAUCGCUUCGGUGUGAUAAUUAUCUGCGCCGUAGUCGUGAAGUAUUAAUAAAAGUUCUCGCUUCUAAUCGUCCUUCACGGGACAAUUAACCCUGACUUUUUGACCUCAAAUCAGGUAGAGA
Molecule: ribosomal RNA, 576 nt
Filed under: uncultured Phlebiopsis
Lineage: Eukaryota; Fungi; Basidiomycota; Agaricomycetes; Polyporales; Phanerochaetaceae
Description: eukaryotic LSU rRNA
Rfam family: 5.8S ribosomal RNA (bases 190-342)
Source: RNAcentral